This 245-nucleotide ribosomal RNA is filed under the name uncultured Bacillota bacterium. Its description in RNAcentral is "uncultured Firmicutes bacterium partial 16S ribosomal RNA". It matches the Rfam family "Bacterial small subunit ribosomal RNA", at positions 524 to 769 of the family's 1533-position model. Lineage: Bacteria; Bacillati; Bacillota. The record is from RNAcentral.
UACGUAGGGGGCGAGCGUUAUCCGGAUUUAUUGGGCGUAAAGCGUGUGUAGGCGGUUUAUUAAGUUUAAGAUUAAAUUCCGAAGCUUAACUUCGGUUCGUCUUAAAAACUGGUAGACUUGAGUAUAGUAGAGGCAAGUGGAAUUUCUAGUGUAGCGGUUAAAUGCGUAGAUAUUAGAAGGAACACCAGUGGCGAAGGCGGCUUGCUGGGCUAUCACUGACGCUGAGACACGAAAGCGUGGGGAGC